GUGAGGAAUAUUGGUCAAUGGGCGGGAGCCUGAACCAGCCAAGUCGCGUGAAGGAAGAAGGAUCUAUGGUUCGUAAACUUCUUUUGCAGGGGAAUAAAGUACGGUACGUGUACCGUUUUGUAUGUACUCUGCGAAUAAGGAUCGGCUAACUCCGUGCCAGCAGCCGCGGUAAUACGGAGGAUCCAAGCGUUAUCCGGAUUUAUUGGGUUUAAAGGGUGCGUAGGUGGUUUGAUAAGUCAGCGGUGAAAGUUUGCAGCUUAACUGUAAAAAUGCCGUUGAAACUGUCGGACUUGAGUGUAAAUGAGGUAGGCGGAAUGCGUGGUGUAGCGGUGAAAUGCAUAGAUAUCACGCAGAACUACGAUUGCGAAGGCAGCUUACUAAGCUACAACUGACACUGAAGCACGAAAGCGUGGGGAUCAAACAGGAUUAGAUACCCGUGUAGUCC
This 445-nucleotide ribosomal RNA is filed under the name uncultured bacterium. Its description in RNAcentral is "partial 16S ribosomal RNA". It matches the Rfam family "Bacterial small subunit ribosomal RNA", at positions 354 to 796 of the family's 1533-position model. The record is from RNAcentral.